This 253-nucleotide ribosomal RNA is filed under the name uncultured bacterium. Its description in RNAcentral is "partial 16S ribosomal RNA". It matches the Rfam family "Bacterial small subunit ribosomal RNA", at positions 524 to 776 of the family's 1533-position model. The record is from RNAcentral.
CACGUAGGGCGCAAGCGUUGUCCGGAAUUAUUGGGCGUAAAGAGCUCGUAGGCGGUCUGUUGCGUCCGCUGUGAAAACUCGGGGCUUAACCCCGAGCCUGCAGUGGAUACGGGCAGACUAGAGGUAGGUAGGGGAGAAUGGAAUUCCCGGUGUAGCGGUGAAAUGCGCAGAUAUCGGGAGGAACACCGGUGGCGAAGGCGGUUCUCUGGGCAGUGGCUGACGCUGAGGCGCGACAGCGUGGGGAGCAAACAGG